This 449-nucleotide ribosomal RNA is filed under the name uncultured bacterium. RNAcentral's name for it is "bacterial SSU rRNA". It matches the Rfam family "Bacterial small subunit ribosomal RNA", at positions 355 to 825 of the family's 1533-position model. The record is from RNAcentral.
UGGGGAAUAUUGCGCAAUGGGGGAAACCCUGACGCAGCGACGCCGCGUGUGGGAUGAAGGUCUUCGGAUUGUAAACCACUGUCGCGAGGGACGAAGCUCUGACGGUACCUCGAAAGGAAGCACCGGCUAACUCUGUGCCAGCAGCCGCGGUAAUACAGAGGGUGCGAGCGUUGUCCGGAAUCACUGGGCGUAAAGGGCGCGUAGGCGGCCCGGUAAGUAGGGGGUGAAAUCUCAUGGCUCAACUGUGAGGCUGCCUUCUAGACUGCCAGGUUUGAGCACAGUAGAGGCGAGUGGAAUUCCCGGUGUAGCGGUGGAAUGCGUAGAGAUCGGGAAGAACAUCGGUGGCGAAGGCGGCUCGCUGGGCUGUUGCUGACGCUGAGGCGCGAAAGCGUGGGGAGCAAACAGGAUUAGAUACCCGAGUAGUCCCUGAGCGGGCUGGCAAGGCGCAU